RNAcentral lists this ribosomal RNA (464 nucleotides) under uncultured bacterium. Its description in RNAcentral is "partial 16S ribosomal RNA". It matches the Rfam family "Bacterial small subunit ribosomal RNA", at positions 339 to 795 of the family's 1533-position model. The record is from RNAcentral.
CUACGGGGCGCUGCAGUGGGGAAUAUUGCACAAUGGGCGCAAGCCUGAUGCAGCCAUGCCGCGUGUAUGAAGAAGGCCUUCGGGUUGUAAAGUACUUUCAGCGGGGAGGAAGGGAGUAAAGUUAAUACCUUUGCUCAUUGACGUUACCCGCAGAAGAAGCACCGGCUAACUCCGUGCCAGCAGCCGCGGUAAUACGGAGGGUGCAAGCGUUAAUCGGAAUUACUGGGCGUAAAGCGCACGCAGGCGGUUUGUUAAGUCAGAUGUGAAAUCCCCGGGCUCAACCUGGGAACUGCAUCUGAUACUGGAAAGCUUGAGUCUGGUAGAGGGGGGGAGAAUUCCAGGUGUAGCGGUGAAAUGCGUAGAGAUCUGGAGGAAUACCGGUGGCGAAGGCGGCCCCCCGGACGAAGACUGACGCUCAGGUGCGAAAGCGUGGGGAGCAAACAGGAUUAGAUACCCCGGUAGUC